RNAcentral lists this long non-coding RNA (1002 nucleotides) under Heterocephalus glaber (naked mole-rat). RNAcentral's name for it is "lncRNA (ENSHGLG00000032451.1)". The record is from RNAcentral. Lineage: Eukaryota; Metazoa; Chordata; Mammalia; Rodentia; Bathyergidae.
CUUUGACAUAACAUUUGCAUAGAAGACAUACUUGGUUAAUGUAAAAUGCAUAGUUAUUUGAAGUGUGAAAAGCGGAUACAAAAGAUGUGGCUGAGUGCACUUCCUUCUCAUCCACCAAGCCAUACUUUGGACUAACUAUGGUUCCAAGCAGAGAGACCAGCAAUAGUGAAAUAGUAAAGGCUCAAAGCAGGACCUUGUGUGGCUCUUCCAGGAGCAGCAGAAGGCCAGCUUGGCUAGAACAUGAAGAAACAGAAAAUGAACAGAAAAUUUCUGGAACCGAAUCACUUCUAGAAAUAUUGGGAGUUUCUUGGAUAUUUAAGGAGACCCUAGGAAGAUCCCUUGCUCCUUCAGCAGUGUGAACACAACAAGAAGAUGGCCAUUCAUCUAGGAGUCAAGAACCAACCUGUGACACCUUGAUGUGGGGUGUACCAGCCUCCUGAACUAUGGUCUUGGAGAAGAUAACUAAGUUUUCAAGGUGCUGAAGAGGAAAGAGGAGCAAGAGGAGGCAAUGGAACAUUAAAGGACUCUUCAUCAAGUGUAGUGGGAUGCAAUAUCUGAAUGUUACUGCUUCCUGAAAUCAAACUGUAUCUUCCUUCAUCCUUUUGUGCCGCUAAAUUAAAAUACCACAGAUAGGGUAAGCCGUAAACAAUAGGAAUGUCUCCCUCACGGUUCUAGAAGCUGGGAAGUCCAAGAUCAAGGCAAUGGUAGGUUUGGUGUCUACUGUAGGCUGCUGUCUGCUUCCAAGAUGGGCCUUGUUUCUGUAUCCUCUGGAGGGGACAAACAUUGUGCCCUCACAUAGCAGAAGGUUAAGUUUAGAGAGGCAAAAAGGAGGUGAGGUUACUCUUUUAAGUCCUUUCAUAAAGUUUCUAAUCCCAUCCUUUAGCACACAGCCUUCAUGGCCUAAUCACCUCCUAAAAGUCCUGCCUCUUAAUAUUGUUGCAUUGGAGAUAAAGUUUCAGUAUGCAUUUUAGAGGGGAUGAAAAUAUUCAAACUACAGCAUGG